This 487-nucleotide ribosomal RNA is filed under the name uncultured bacterium. Its description in RNAcentral is "partial 16S ribosomal RNA". It matches the Rfam family "Bacterial small subunit ribosomal RNA", at positions 28 to 507 of the family's 1533-position model. The record is from RNAcentral.
GAUGAACGCUAGCGAUAGGCUUAACACAUGCAAGUCGAGGGGCAGCACAAGGUAGCUUGCUAUCUGGGUGGCGACCGGCGCACGGGUGCGUAACGCGUAUGCAACUUGCCCUAUACAGGAGGAUAACCCGUCGAAAGACGGACUAAUACUGCGUAUGCUCACAACUUGGCAUCAAGUGGUGAGGAAAGAAAUUCGGUAUAGGAUAGGCAUGCGUCCCAUUAGCUUGUUGGUGAGGUAACGGCUCACCAAGGCAACGAUUGGUAGGGGAACUGAGAGGUUUAUCCCCCACACUGGUACUGAGACACGGACCAGACUCCUACGGGAGGCAGCAGUGAGGAAUAUUGGUCAAUGGGCGCGAGCCUGAACCAGCCAAGUCGCGUGAAGGAUGACUGUCUUAUGGAUUGUAAACUUCUUUUAUACGGGAAUAACAAGAGUCACGUGUGGCUCCCUGCAUGUACCGUAUGAAUAAGCAUCGGCUAACUCCGUG